RNAcentral lists this ribosomal RNA (2211 nucleotides) under Escherichia coli. RNAcentral describes it as "bacterial LSU rRNA". It matches the Rfam family "Bacterial large subunit ribosomal RNA", at positions 1 to 2228 of the family's 2925-position model. Lineage: Bacteria; Pseudomonadati; Pseudomonadota; Gammaproteobacteria; Enterobacterales; Enterobacteriaceae. The record is from RNAcentral.
GGGUUGUGAGGUUAAGCGACUAAGCGUACACGGUGGAUGCCCUGGCAGUCAGAGGCGAUGAAGGACGUGCUAAUCUGCGAUAAGCGUCGGUAAGGUGAUAUGAACCGUUAUAACCGGCGAUUUCCGAAUGGGGAAACCCAGUGUGUUUCGACACACUAUCAUUAACUGAAUCCAUAGGUUAAUGAGGCGAACCGGGGGAACUGAAACAUCUAAGUACCCCGAGGAAAAGAAAUCAACCGAGAUUCCCCCAGUAGCGGCGAGCGAACGGGGAGCAGCCCAGAGCCUGAAUCAGUGUGUGUGUUAGUGGAAGCGUCUGGAAAGGCGCGCGAUACAGGGUGACAGCCCCGUACACAAAAAUGCACAUGCUGUGAGCUCGAUGAGUAGGGCGGGACACGUGGUAUCCUGUCUGAAUAUGGGGGGACCAUCCUCCAAGGCUAAAUACUCCUGACUGACCGAUAGUGAACCAGUACCGUGAGGGAAAGGCGAAAAGAACCCCGGCGAGGGGAGUGAAAAAGAACCUGAAACCGUGUACGUACAAGCAGUGGGAGCACGCUUAGGCGUGUGACUGCGUACCUUUUGUAUAAUGGGUCAGCGACUUAUAUUCUGUAGCAAGGUUAACCGAAUAGGGGAGCCGAAGGGAAACCGAGUCUUAACUGGGCGUUAAGUUGCAGGGUAUAGACCCGAAACCCGGUGAUCUAGCCAUGGGCAGGUUGAAGGUUGGGUAACACUAACUGGAGGACCGAACCGACUAAUGUUGAAAAAUUAGCGGAUGACUUGUGGCUGGGGGUGAAAGGCCAAUCAAACCGGGAGAUAGCUGGUUCUCCCCGAAAGCUAUUUAGGUAGCGCCUCGUGAAUUCAUCUCCGGGGGUAGAGCACUGUUUCGGCAAGGGGGUCAUCCCGACUUACCAACCCGAUGCAAACUGCGAAUACCGGAGAAUGUUAUCACGGGAGACACACGGCGGGUGCUAACGUCCGUCGUGAAGAGGGAAACAACCCAGACCGCCAGCUAAGGUCCCAAAGUCAUGGUUAAGUGGGAAACGAUGUGGGAAGGCCCAGACAGCCAGGAUGUUGGCUUAGAAGCAGCCAUCAUUUAAAGAAAGCGUAAUAGCUCACUGGUCGAGUCGGCCUGCGCGGAAGAUGUAACGGGGCUAAACCAUGCACCGAAGCUGCGGCAGCGACGCUUAUGCGUUGUUGGGUAGGGGAGCGUUCUGUAAGCCUGCGAAGGUGUGCUGUGAGGCAUGCUGGAGGUAUCAGAAGUGCGAAUGCUGACAUAAGUAACGAUAAAGCGGGUGAAAAGCCCGCUCGCCGGAAGACCAAGGGUUCCUGUCCAACGUUAAUCGGGGCAGGGUGAGUCGACCCCUAAGGCGAGGCCGAAAGGCGUAGUCGAUGGGAAACAGGUUAAUAUUCCUGUACUUGGUGUUACUGCGAAGGGGGGACGGAGAAGGCUAUGUUGGCCGGGCGACGGUUGUCCCGGUUUAAGCGUGUAGGCUGGUUUUCCAGGCAAAUCCGGAAAAUCAAGGCUGAGGCGUGAUGACGAGGCACUACGGUGCUGAAGCAACAAAUGCCCUGCUUCCAGGAAAAGCCUCUAAGCAUCAGGUAACAUCAAAUCGUACCCCAAACCGACACAGGUGGUCAGGUAGAGAAUACCAAGGCGCUUGAGAGAACUCGGGUGAAGGAACUAGGCAAAAUGGUGCCGUAACUUCGGGAGAAGGCACGCUGAUAUGUAGGUGAAGUCCCUCGCGGAUGGAGCUGAAAUCAGUCGAAGAUACCAGCUGGCUGCAACUGUUUAUUAAAAACACAGCACUGUGCAAACACGAAAGUGGACGUAUACGGUGUGACGCCUGCCCGGUGCCGGAAGGUUAAUUGAUGGGGUUAGCGCAAGCGAAGCUCUUGAUCGAAGCCCCGGUAAACGGCGGCCGUAACUAUAACGGUCCUAAGGUAGCGAAAUUCCUUGUCGGGUAAGUUCCGACCUGCACGAAUGGCGUAAUGAUGGCCAGGCUGUCUCCACCCGAGACUCAGUGAAAUUGAACUCGCUGUGAAGAUGCAGUGUACCCGCGGCAAGACGGAAAGACCCCGUGAACCUUUACUAUAGCUUGACACUGAACAUUGAGCCUUGAUGUGUAGGAUAGGUGGGAGGCUUUGAAGUGUGGACGCCAGUCUGCAUGGAGCCGACCUUGAAAUACCACCCUUUAAUGUUUGAUGUUCUAACGU